UUAGUUGCUGAUAGUGCUAUAAAUCUUAUUAUGCAUGCACAGAAUGUAAUGGAAAUUGUAGCAUUAUGUUAGGAGAAAAGUACUGCCUGGAUGUUUACAAGAUAUAUGCCAUACCGGGUUAAGAAUCCAAAAUAUUUAAGAGAUCCAAAGUUAUUUGAUCCCUUUAAUCCUUCAAGACCAAACCCACAUUAAAAUUAUACUGGUUUGUCACUUAGAAGUAUGUGAAUAUUGCCUUAUGAAUUUUUGCUUUCUUGAUUGUGAUAAUAAAGUUUGCUGCAUUUGUUGAAUAUGUCUUUCAUACUGGAGCAUCUGUGUUCAGAAGAUUCUUUGCUAGAAUAGAACAAAAUGUAUAUUAUUAAAUUUCAUUUUCAAAACAAUUUAGUAAUUUUAUAAAUAAAAAAUUACCCUUUUUUAGUA
Long non-coding RNA from Stegodyphus dumicola, 417 nucleotides. Lineage: Eukaryota; Metazoa; Arthropoda; Arachnida; Araneae; Eresidae. The record is from RefSeq and is a predicted model, not a curated record.